GCGAUCUGUUUAGUCUGUGUGAGAUGAAAGCUGGGGAUGCCUAUUGGCCCAUUAUGGAAAGGAGUUUUAAUGACGCUCUCCUCACUACUGAUAUGGAUUUUCAGUCGGGUAUCACAUUCUGUGAACAGCUUCGGGCCUGGGCCCAGGAUAAACUAGCAGACCAAGCCACUUGUAUAAAUGAUAUUAUACAAGAUAAACUUGAGUAUGUGGAGAAGUACCAUUCC
Pelobates cultripes (western spadefoot toad) is the source of this 224-nucleotide non-coding RNA. The record is from the annotation of a GenBank genome assembly. NCBI's taxonomy places the organism in Eukaryota, Metazoa, Chordata, Amphibia, Anura, Pelobatidae.